Molecule: long non-coding RNA, 2603 nt
Organism: Pieris rapae (cabbage white)
Lineage: Eukaryota; Metazoa; Arthropoda; Insecta; Lepidoptera; Pieridae
Exons: 3
Source: RefSeq, a predicted model, not a curated record
AAACACAAUAGGGUCACUUAUUCAUAUUUCUAAUUUCAUAUCAUCAAGUUCCUUGUUGAGGAGAACGUGUUUGGUUCAACGUUCAUUCGUGGAAUUCGAUUCGUCAGGAGGCAUGGUGAAAUAGGAGCACGCACUAACAUACUCGUGAAAACAACACGCAAUUACGUAGUAGACAACUAAUAUCGCCGCAUACACGAAUUCAAGUACGACCAGUCACCACAAGUAGCACCCAUUCACGAGUAUGACGCAUGGCCAGCCAUCGGUCCACUCGAUUACUGAUAUUUGGUGACAUAACACUGGCGGAAAGAGGAGAGUUUGAAUUAGAAAAUUCAUUCAGAUUCACAAAUUCAUACUGAUAGAAGAUACAAAUAAAUAAAUCAAACAUGAAUGUCGGCAAUUACAAACUGCCUGUUAAACCCAAAUUUGAAAAUGUAGCACUUAGUGAUCACUUAAAACCCACGUCUUUCGGUCACGAAAGACUUAGUACGUAUAAGCAAAACAAUUGGAAUAAUAUUACAAACACGUGUGGUUGGACAGAUACUUAUUACAAUAAUCCCUAUCCGUCUUAUCCAACGCUUAACAAAAUAUUACCUUAUUUCAAUAACAACUAUUAUUCAUAUCCACCACCGCCGCCUCCCCCACCUCCCCCACUUAUGGAACAGGUUAUGCCUGACCUAAAACAUGCUCCAUUACCUAAUAAAGACAUUAAACAUGUCAAACCUAUACCAAUGAAACACACGAAUGUUAAAAAGAAGCCUGAGCUAAAAAAUAGUUUAGGGAACUCGCAGAAAUCAGAGAUUAAAACGAGUAAAUUAAUUGAACAGCCAUACUCACCUCCUGUUCUACCCAUACCGACAUUUUACGAUGUUUUUAAACUUUUGGAUAAAAGAUCGGAAGUAUAUAAUAAAUCAAGAUUGCGGGUAAAAAGAGGUGAACGAGCGGUGGUAUCAGGAGAUUGUAUUCCUAAAAAAAUUACACUACACGACUAUUUAUCAAAAAAAAAAGCCAACGAAAGAGUUUAAUGAAGGAGAAUGAUAAAAGAAUAUUAUAAAAAAUAAGUACAUUAUAUUAAUGAUAUAAAAUAGCAACAUGUUUAAUAAUGGGGUUGAUAAAUAUUUUACGACUUUUUUAAAAUAAUUAUUCAUAUUCCGUAUAAAGUGGCUUCUACCACGUCAAUGGAAGAAUUCUGAACAGGAUACCAUAGGAAAAUAUAUUUUGUAAAUUAUGUUUUCUUAAUUCUGUAUUAUUGGUUUUAUAAUUUUAAUAAAAUGAAAAUGUGCAAUCUUAGAAAUAAAAAGUUAAACCAUAGAUGCAUAUAAAUUUACAGUUGACGUAAUUUUUUUCGCUGUCUAGUUGUCUUUUUAUGUACUGGGUUUAUAUUUCUUAGAAAAAUGUGAAAAAAGCAAUUUGUUAUUAUAGGAACACCAAUCUACAUUUUUAUUAUAAAGCAUAGCUCUCACAGCUAUACCUAGCUCAGCAAAGCGAAAUGCUUAGUAAAAGCUAUUAUAUUAAUUGUAUAUAUAUAUAUAUGUUACAACAAGAUAGGGAUGUAAAAUGUUUAUGAAUUAUGAAAAGAAUAUUUAUGCACAAUAAUUUAUCUUCAGCUAUCAAUCUGACAAGGUAGUGGUAGUGACUAGUAUUAGAAGGAUCCUUAGGCCGAUUCAAGAAUCGAUAUAUAGGGCUAUGUAUAAUUUACAUCUGAAAAGUUUUUACUUUAAUACAAAGUAUUCUGACAUGCCAAAAAUAUUUCAUAUAUUUAUUUAUAGAUUAAGCUCAGCUCAUCUAGCGUAACUAAUAACGUAAAAUUAGAAUAAAUAAUAAUUUAUUGGCUCGAGUCUGGUAUGGUGUACUAUGUUUUGAGGUGUAAAAUAAAUUAAUAUCGUAAAUAAAUAAGUGUUACCAUGUAAUAUGUGAAGCUUAUCACGGAAGGAAAAGAAGGCUGUGGAUGCCUUCUGCCCCAUCCAGAGGUCGUAGGAUAUUAAGUAUUAGAAAUGUCUUAAUAGUAAAUCAUUAGCUGUAAACAUCAAAUAUUUUUUAUACAAAUUAUUUAUAUUAAAACCUACGGUUAAAAACGCUUAGUGUACUGGUGACUUGGUUGGACUGACGAAUGGGUUUCGCUACAAAGCCAGGAAAUGUUGCCAGCAUUUAAGUAGACUAGCACACAAUACUUUUAAGCUAUUGCAUAGAUUUUAUCGCGGGCUUUGAGCGCGGCGACCGAAUCAAGAAAUUCCGUAACGAAAAAAUCCUAACACUGAUCGGUGACGUAGCAAGCGCGGCCGGUGCAGCCGGUACCCGUGAGAGUGAGACGGACUAUAUAAGGGGUGUCUGAGUGUGGUAGAUAGAUUGAAUUAAUAUCAUACUGCAUAAAAAUAAAUAAAUGUUUGCAUCAAUUGCUAAAAAAUGCUAUGCAAUAGCUUUACCGCGGCAGUCCCCGAGUGCCACACGUAUUUUUUUAAAUUGAUUUUAGUUCUCUAUUUACCGAUUUUUGAUCAUUAGGUUAAGAAUAUUGUAAAUGUUUAUAUUUAUAUAGUAGUAAAAAGCUAAGUAUAGUUUAGUUGAUAUUAAAUCAAUUGUAUAUUUUUGUGUUAAUUAUAAAAAAAUUA